RNAcentral lists this ribosomal RNA (253 nucleotides) under uncultured Burkholderiales bacterium. RNAcentral describes it as "partial 16S ribosomal RNA". It matches the Rfam family "Bacterial small subunit ribosomal RNA", at positions 524 to 776 of the family's 1533-position model. The record is from RNAcentral. Lineage: Bacteria; Pseudomonadati; Pseudomonadota; Betaproteobacteria; Burkholderiales.
UACGUAGGGUGCAAGCGUUAAUCGGAAUUACUGGGCGUAAAGCGUGCGCAGGCGGUUUGGCAAGAAAGAUGUGAAAUCCCAGAGCUUAACUUUGGAACUGCAUUUUUAACUGCCAAGCUAGAGUAUGUCAGAGGGGGGUAGAAUUCCACGUGUAGCAGUGAAAUGCGUAGAGAUGAGGAGGAAUACCGAUGGCGAAGGCAGCCCCCUGGGAUAAUACUGACGCUCAUGCACGAAAGCGUGGGGAGCAAACAGG